CGGGAUGUAGCGUAGGUUGGUUAUCGCGCCUGGUUUGGGACCAGGAGGUCGUAGGUUCGAAUCCUAUCAUCCCGAC
RNAcentral lists this transfer RNA (76 nucleotides) under Candidatus Karelsulcia muelleri. RNAcentral's name for it is "Candidatus Sulcia muelleri tRNA-Pro". It matches the Rfam family "tRNA". From Rfam's summary of the family: Transfer RNA (tRNA) molecules are approximately 80 nucleotides in length. Their secondary structure includes four short double-helical elements and three loops (D, anti-codon, and T loops). Further hydrogen bonds mediate the characteristic L-shaped molecular structure. tRNAs have two regions of fundamental functional importance: the anti-codon, which is responsible for specific mRNA codon recognition, and the 3' end, to which the tRNAs corresponding amino acid is attached (by aminoacyl-tRNA synthetases). tRNAs cope with the degeneracy of the genetic code in two manners: having more than one tRNA (with a specific anti-codon) for a particular amino acid; and 'wobble' base-pairing, i.e. permitting non-standard base-pairing at the 3rd anti-codon position. The record is from RNAcentral. Lineage: Bacteria; Pseudomonadati; Bacteroidota; Flavobacteriia; Flavobacteriales.